CCUACGGGUGGCUGCAGUGGGGAAUAUUGGACAAUGGGCGAAAGCCUGAUCCAGCCAUGCCGCGUGUGUGAAGAAGGCCUUCGGGUUGUAAAGCACUUUCAGUGGGGAAGAAAGCCUUGGGGCUAAUACCCUCGAGGAAGGACAUCACCCACAGAAGAAGCACCGGCUAACUCCGUGCCAGCAGCCGCGGUAAUACGGAGGGUGCGAGCGUUAAUCGGAAUUACUGGGCGUAAAGCGCGCGUAGGCGGUCUGAUAAGCCGGUUGUGAAAGCCCCGGGCUCAACCUGGGAACGGCAUCCGGAACUGUCAGGCUAGAGUGCAGGAGAGGAGGGUAGAAUCCCCGGUGUAGCAGUGAAAUGCGUAGAGAUCGGGAGGAAUACCAGUGGCGAAGGCGGCCUUCUGGACUGACACUGACGCUGAGGUGCGAAAGCGUGGGUAGCAAACAGGAUUAGAUACCCUAGUAGUC
RNAcentral lists this ribosomal RNA (465 nucleotides) under Vreelandella stevensii. RNAcentral describes it as "partial 16S ribosomal RNA". It matches the Rfam family "Bacterial small subunit ribosomal RNA", at positions 338 to 795 of the family's 1533-position model. The record is from RNAcentral. Lineage: Bacteria; Pseudomonadati; Pseudomonadota; Gammaproteobacteria; Oceanospirillales; Halomonadaceae.